AACGCUUAUGUGUGGUUUUUGCUGAAUUGGUGAACAAAGACUUAAAGACACGCAUAUAAAAAUAAAUCCUCCUUUGCAACCCAGAACUCAUUAAGUAUGAGUUUUGAUACAUAUCAGAAGGGAUGUG
Microtus ochrogaster (prairie vole) is the source of this 127-nucleotide small nucleolar RNA. The record is from Ensembl. Lineage: Eukaryota; Metazoa; Chordata; Mammalia; Rodentia; Cricetidae.